RNAcentral lists this ribosomal RNA (460 nucleotides) under uncultured bacterium. RNAcentral describes it as "partial 16S ribosomal RNA". It matches the Rfam family "Bacterial small subunit ribosomal RNA", at positions 338 to 795 of the family's 1533-position model. The record is from RNAcentral.
CCUACGGGGUGCAGCAGUGAGGAAUAUUGGUCAAUGGACGAGAGUCUGAACCAGCCAAGUAGCGUGAAGGAUGACUGCCCUAUGGGUUGUAAACUUCUUUUAUAUGGGAAUAAAAUGUUCCACGUGUGGGAUUUUGUAUGUACCAUAUGAAUAAGGAUCGGCUAACUCCGUGCCAGCAGCCGCGGUAAUACGGAGGAUCCGAGCGUUAUCCGGAUUUAUUGGGUUUAAAGGGAGCGUAGGUGGAUUGUUAAGUCAGUUGUGAAAGUUUGCGGCUCAACCGUAAAAUUGCAGUUGAAACUGGCAGUCUUGAGUACAGUAGAGGUGGGCGGAAUUCGUGGGGUAGCGGUGAAAGGCUUAGAUAUCACGAAGAACUCCGAUUGCGAAGGCAGCUCACUGGACUGCAACUGACACUGAGGCUCGAAAGUGUGGGUAUCAAACAGGAUUAGAGACCCUAGUAGUC